RNAcentral lists this transfer RNA (77 nucleotides) under Bacteroidota bacterium. RNAcentral's name for it is "Bacteroidetes bacterium (sediment metagenome) tRNA-Ala". It matches the Rfam family "tRNA". Rfam says of the family: Transfer RNA (tRNA) molecules are approximately 80 nucleotides in length. Their secondary structure includes four short double-helical elements and three loops (D, anti-codon, and T loops). Further hydrogen bonds mediate the characteristic L-shaped molecular structure. tRNAs have two regions of fundamental functional importance: the anti-codon, which is responsible for specific mRNA codon recognition, and the 3' end, to which the tRNAs corresponding amino acid is attached (by aminoacyl-tRNA synthetases). tRNAs cope with the degeneracy of the genetic code in two manners: having more than one tRNA (with a specific anti-codon) for a particular amino acid; and 'wobble' base-pairing, i.e. permitting non-standard base-pairing at the 3rd anti-codon position. Lineage: Bacteria; Pseudomonadati; Bacteroidota. The record is from RNAcentral.
GGGGCAUUGGCUCAGUUGGCUAGAGCGCUGCGUUCGCAUCGCAGAGGUCGCGGGUUCGAGUCCCGCAUGCUCCACAA